AAGAAAUUAGUUAAAACAUAACAUUAAUAUGUCAUAUUAAAAUUAUUAUAUUAUAAUAUUUCUUG
This 65-nucleotide transfer RNA is filed under the name Gryllotalpa unispina. RNAcentral describes it as "tRNA-Asp". Lineage: Eukaryota; Metazoa; Arthropoda; Insecta; Orthoptera; Gryllotalpidae. The record is from RNAcentral. RNAcentral also lists the same sequence under 1 other name.